Molecule: ribosomal RNA, 253 nt
Filed under: uncultured bacterium
Lineage: Bacteria
Description: partial 16S ribosomal RNA
Rfam family: Bacterial small subunit ribosomal RNA
Source: RNAcentral
UACAGAGGGGGCAAGCGUUGUUCGGAAUUACUGGGCGUAAAGGGCGCGUAGGCGGCCCGCUAAGUCGAACGUGAAAUCCCCGAGCUCAACUCGGGAACUGCGUCCGAUACUGGUGGGCUUGAAUCCGGGAGAGGGAUGCGGAAUUCCAGGUGUAGCGGUGAAAUGCGUAGAUAUCAGGAGGAACGCCUGUGGCGAAGGCGGCCCUCUGGACGGAUACUGACGCUGAGACGCGAAAGCGUGGGGAGCAAACAGG